CAAUAGCGUAUAUUAAAGUUGUUGCAGUUAAAAAGCUCGUAGUCGGAUUUCGGGGCCUGCCGAGCGGUCUGCCGAUGGGUAUGCACUGUUCGGCGCGUCCUUCUUUCCGGAGACUAAUUCUACUCUUAACUGAGCGGAAUUGGGAGACGGAUCGUUUACUUUGAAAAAUCAGAGUGUUUCAAGCAGGCAGCUCGCUCUUGCAUGGAUUAGCAUGGGAUAAUGAAAUAGGACUCUGGUGCUAUUUUGUUGGUUUCGAACACCGGAGUAAUGAUUAACAGGGACAGUCAGGGGCACUCGUAUUCCGUCGAGAGAGGUGAAAUUCUCAGACCAAUGGAAGACGAACCACUGCGAAAGCAUUUGCCAGGGAUGUUUUCACUGAUCAAGAACGAAAGUUAGGGGAUCGAAGAUGAUUAGAUACCGU
RNAcentral lists this ribosomal RNA (421 nucleotides) under uncultured eukaryote. RNAcentral's name for it is "SSU rRNA". It matches the Rfam family "Eukaryotic small subunit ribosomal RNA", at positions 592 to 1018 of the family's 1831-position model. The record is from RNAcentral.